Rhinopithecus roxellana (golden snub-nosed monkey) is the source of this 488-nucleotide RNA transcript. It is a transcript of the gene named 40S ribosomal protein S14 pseudogene, with no coding region annotated. NCBI's taxonomy places the organism in Eukaryota, Metazoa, Chordata, Mammalia, Primates, Cercopithecidae. The transcript has a single exon. The record is from RefSeq and is a predicted model, not a curated record.
UGGUGUGGAGACUGGAGACGACGUGCAGAAAUGGCAACUCGAAAGGGGAAGGAAAAGAAGGAAGAACAGGUCAUCAGCCUCGGACCUCAGGUGGCUGAAGGAGAGAAUGUAUUUGGUGUCCGCCAUAUCUUUGCAUCCUUCAAUGACACUUCCGUCCACGUCACUGAUCUUUCUGGCAAAGAAACCAUCUGCCGUGCGACUGGUGGGAUGAAGGUGAAGGCAGAGACUGAGACGAAUCCUCGCCAUAUGCUGCUAUGUUGGCUGCCCGGGAUGUGGCCCAGAAGUGCAAGGAGGUGGGUAUCACUGCCCUACGCAUCAGACUCCAGGCCACAGGAGGAAAUAGGACCAAGGCCCGGGGACCUGGGGCCCAGUCGGCCCUCAGAGCCCUUGCCCGCUCCGGUAUGAAGGUCGGGCCGAUUGAGGACGUCACCCCCAUCCCCUCUGACAGCACUCGCAGGAAGGGGGGUCACCAUGGUCACUGUCUGUGA